Molecule: ribosomal RNA, 252 nt
Filed under: uncultured bacterium
Lineage: Bacteria
Description: partial 16S ribosomal RNA
Rfam family: Bacterial small subunit ribosomal RNA
Source: RNAcentral
UACGUAGGGUGCGAGCGUUAAUCGGAAUUACUGGGCGUAAAGCGUGCGCAGGCGGUUUUGUAGCCCGAUGUGAAAUCCCCGGGCUUAACCUGGGAAUGGCAUUUGGGACUGCAAGGCUUGAGUGCGGCAGAGGAGACUAGAAUUCCUGGUGUAGCAGUGAAAUGCGUAGAUAUCAGGAGGAAUACCGAUGGCGAAGGCAGGUCUCUGGGCCGAUACUGACGCUGAGGAGCGAAAGCGUGGGGAGCGAACAGG